UACGUAUGGGUCGAGCGUUGUCCGGAGUUACUGGGCGUAAAGCGCAUGCAGGCGGCUCAUUACGCAUGGCGUGAAAAGCCCCCGGCUCAACCGGGGAGGGUCGUCGUGAACGGGUGAGCUUGAGGGUAUCAGGGGCUGGUGGAAUUCCCGGUGUAGUGGUGAAAUGCGUAGAGAUCGGGAGGAACACCUGUGGCGAAGGCGGCCAGCUGGGAUACACCUGACGCUGAGAUGCGAAGGCGUGGGGAGCGAACGGGAUUAGAUACCCCCGUAGUCCCU
Molecule: ribosomal RNA, 276 nt
Filed under: uncultured prokaryote
Description: partial 16S ribosomal RNA
Rfam family: Bacterial small subunit ribosomal RNA
Source: RNAcentral